GACGAACGCUGGCGGCGUGCUUAACACAUGCAAGUCGAACGGAAAGGCCCUUCGGGGUACUCGAGUGGCGAACGGGUGAGUAACACGUGGGUGAUCUGCCCUGCACUUUGGGAUAAGCCUGGGAAACUGGGUCUAAUACCGAAUAGGACCACGCGCUUCAUGGUGUUUGGUGGAAAGCUUUUGCGGUGUGGGAUGGGCCCGCGGCCUAUCAGCUUGUUGGUGGGGUAAUGGCCUACCAAGGCGACGACGGGUAGCCGGCCUGAGAGGGUGACCGGCCACACUGGGACUGAGAGACGGCCCAGACUCCUACGGGAGGCAGCAGUGGGGAAUAUUGCACAAUGGGCGCAAGCCUGAUGUAGCGACGCCGCGUGAGGGAUGACGGCCUUCGGGUUGUAAACCUCUUUCAAUAGGGACGAAGCGCAAGUGACGGUACCUAUAGAAGAAGAACCGGCCAACUACGUG
Molecule: ribosomal RNA, 462 nt
Filed under: uncultured bacterium
Lineage: Bacteria
Description: partial 16S ribosomal RNA
Rfam family: Bacterial small subunit ribosomal RNA
Source: RNAcentral